RNA transcript from Poecile atricapillus (Black-capped chickadee), 2638 nucleotides. It is a transcript of the gene named protein S100-A4-like, with no coding region annotated. The transcript is spliced from 3 exons. The record is from RefSeq and is a predicted model, not a curated record. Lineage: Eukaryota; Metazoa; Chordata; Aves; Passeriformes; Paridae.
AAUACACCCGGUGUCACCUCCACAGCCCCAAAUACACCCGGUGUCACCUCCAGAGCCCCAAAGACACCCGGUGUCACCUCUCUCCAGCCCCAAAUACACCCGGUGUCACCUCUCCAGCCCCAAAUACAGCCGGUGUCACCUCUCCAGAGCCCCAAAUACACCCGGUGUCACCUCCACAGCCCCAAAUACACCCGGUGUCACCUCCAGAGCCCCAAAGACACCCGGUGUCACCUCCACAGUCCCAAAUACACCCGGUGUCACCUCCACAGCCCGAAAUACACCCGGUGUCACCUCUCCAGCCCCAAAGACACCCGGUGUCACCUCUCCAGCCCCAAAUACACCCGGUGUCACCUCUAGAACCCCAAAUACACCCGGUGUCACCUCUCCAGCCCCAAAUACACCCGGUGUCACCUCCACAGCCCCAAAUACACCCGGUGUCACCUCCACAGCCCCAAAUCCCGGCCGGCAUUGAGGUCACCGGGCUGGGAGAGCUCCGCGCCCCCCGUCCCGGGGUCCCGGGGGGUUUUGGGGGUCCCGCUGGCCCGGGGGACCCCGAGGGGUGCCGGGCACCCCACACCUCCCGCUAAUGGCAUCACACAGCUCGUUAGGCAAAAAUGGGGCGCGGGCGAAACCGGCAGCGGGGAGGAGGCGCUGGGAAGGGCGGGGGGCUCGGGGCUGCCGGGGGGGCCGUGCCAGCCCCACCGGGCUAUAAAUGCCCGCAGGUACCGGCUGAGGCACCGCGACACCUCGGGGAGCUGAUCCGCGCUGAGCCGGUGAGUCCCAGCCCCCCGCAGCACCCCAAAAUCCAGCCGGGGAGGUGCUGAGGGUGUCCCCGCUGUGUCUGUCCCCAGGCUGGCCAUGGCGUGUCCCCUGGAGCAGGCGCUGGCCGUGAUGGUCACCACCUUCCACAAGUACUCGGGCAAGGAGGGCGACAAGUACAAGCUGAGCAAGGCGGAGCUGAAGGAGCUGCUGAACAAGGAGCUGCCGGUCUUUGGGAGCAAACAAAUGGACGAGGCGGAGUUCAAGCGGCUGGUGAACGACCUGGACCACAACAAGGACAACGAGGUGGAUUUCAAGGAGUACGUUUGUUUCCUGGCCUGCAUCACCAUGGGCUUCAACGAGUUCUUCAAGGACGACCCCAGCAAGCAGCACCGCAGGAAGUGAAGCUGAUGGCCCGAGAUCUCAAUAAAAGCUUCUCCCCGAUCCCGCCUGACUUCUGGGGUCUCUUCCCAGUCUGAGUUCUGGGGGUUCUGUUCAGGUUCUGCCCAAUCCCAGUCUGAGUUCUGGGGGUUCUGUUCAGGUUCUGCCCAAUCCCAGUCUGAGUUCUGGGGGUUCUGUUCAGGUUCUGCCCAAUCCCAGUCUGAGUUCUGGGGGUUCUGUUCAGGUUCUGCCCAAUCCCAGUCUGAGUUCUGGGGGUUCUGUUCAGGUUCUGCCCAAUCCCAGUCUGAGUUCUGGGGGUUCUGUUCAGGUUCUGCCCAAUCCCAGUCUGAGUUCUGGGGGUUCUGUUCAGGUUCUGCCCACUCCUGGUUGAAUUCUGGGGGUUCUGUUCAAUUUUUGCCCAAUUCCAGUUGAGUUCCAGGGUUCUGUUCAGGUUCUCCCCGGUUCUAGCUGGGUUCUGGAGGUUCUCUUCGGGUUCUCCCCGGUUCCAGCUGGGUUCUGGGGGUUCUGUUCAGGUUCUCCCCGGUUCCAGCGGGGUUCUGGGGGUUCUGUUCAGGUUCUCCCCGCUCCAGGCAGCGGGCACAGUCUGACUCAUCCCUUCCUCCAUCUCCCUGGGUUUUUCCACUGCUCGGCUCAGCCCUGGCGUUUUUUGUUGGUUUUUUUUUUGGAGAAGUUUGAGCAAAAACAGCUCUUGGACGUUCCUCCCCCAGCCCGAAUGUUCUGGGGAGGGUUCGGGGCGCUUCAGGCCAGCACAGAGAGGAUUCGGGUGGCCACGAGGUGCCCUGGGUGACACCUCGGGGCUGGGGGGACACGAAGCCGCAGCGUGUCCCCGGUGCCCGCAUCCCCCGGGAUUUGGGAGCUCCCCCAAGCACCCCGGGCAGCUCGGGGCUGCUUUGGGAAACCCUCAAAGCUGCUCUUCGGCUUUCCAGAGAAACAAUCCCGCCUGUAAAACCCCCCAAAAACGGGGCAGAGCUGCCAGACCCCGUCCCCAAAUCCUCCAGCUCUUUCCUGAGCCCUUCCAGGUCCUUCCAGGAGCUCCAAACUUUCCCCUUUAUAAAGAGCCCCCGGAGCUUCUGCCCUUCCCAGUAACUCCCACAAAUUCCCACUCGCUAAUGGGGUGAGGAGCUUCAACCUCGGGCGCUUCUCCUGCCAAAAGGUACAGACCCCCCCCGAGCUGGGGAGGGGCCGAGGGGGGCUUGGUGAGCUCCCAAAUCCCCCCAGGGUGGGACUUUUGUCCCCGUUUUUGUCGCUCCGGUCCCUGCGGCAGCUGGGGGACACUCGGGGCUGGAAGGAGCCGGUUCCCGGCGCUCCCCGCACUCGUGCCCGGGCCACGCCGCCACCGCCACAGCUCCGUUACACAACGGGGAGCGGCGACGGGAAACAGAAAUCGCUGCCAGGCGACUGGAAAACAACAAAAAAACCUCGUCUCGACAGCACCCCCGCGGCCGAGCCCCGCUGGCUCCCGGACAUCCCUGGGGAC